RNAcentral lists this transfer RNA (66 nucleotides) under uncultured Gemmatimonadota bacterium. Its description in RNAcentral is "uncultured Gemmatimonadetes bacterium tRNA-Thr-TGT". It matches the Rfam family "tRNA". From Rfam's summary of the family: Transfer RNA (tRNA) molecules are approximately 80 nucleotides in length. The record is from RNAcentral. Lineage: Bacteria; Pseudomonadati; Gemmatimonadota.
ACCUUAGCUCAGCUGGUAGAGCACUCGAUUUGUAAUCGAAAGGUCGUCGGUUCGAUCCCGACAGGU